GAUGAACGCUGGCGGCGUGCCUAAUACAUGCAAGUCGAGCGAACAGACGAGGAGCUUGCUCCUCUGACGUUAGCGGCGGACGGGUGAGUAACACGUGGAUAACCUACCUAUAAGACUGGGAUAACUUCGGGAAACCGGAGCUAAUACCGGAUAAUAUAUUGAACCGCAUGGUUCAAUAGCGAAAGACGGUUUUGCUGUCACUUAUAGAUGGAUCCGCGCCGCAUUAGCUAGUUGGUAAGGUAACGGCUUACCAAGGCAACGAUGCGUAGCCGACCUGAGAGGGUGAUCGGCCACACUGGAACUGAGACACGGUCCAGACUCCUACGGGAGGCAGCAGUAGGGAAUCUUCCGCAAAGGGCGAAAGCCUGACGGAGCAACGCCGCGUGAGUGAUGAAGGUCUUCGGAUCGUAAAACUCUGUUAUUAGGGAAGAACAAAUGUGUAAGUAACUAUGCACGUCUUGACGGUACCUAAUCAGAAAGCCACGGCUAACUACGCG
This 497-nucleotide ribosomal RNA is filed under the name uncultured bacterium. Its description in RNAcentral is "partial 16S ribosomal RNA". It matches the Rfam family "Bacterial small subunit ribosomal RNA", at positions 28 to 507 of the family's 1533-position model. The record is from RNAcentral.